CAAGAAGUUCAAGAAGACAAAGGAGUGCAAGUAGAUCUACCUGUUGACAAGGCUCCAGCUGAGAUUGUUCAGGAAGAGGAUAUUUAUGCCAUUGCAGAGAAUGUAGAAGAACAGGCAGAGGACGAUGACGGCCACUAUGAAGAUGUGGAUAACCCGGCAAAAAAAGGCUCCUUCAAAAGAAUGUUAGGGCUCUUAUCCAAACCGUCAAAGAAGAAAGAUGAAGAAACGGAAUCCAAGAUUAUAAAAGCACGUGUUAGCAACAUUGGCAAGGAGGAGGAACUUAGUGAUCAACACGAGGGCUCUCCCAACAUGCAGCAAUUACAGCCGAUGCAGAAGGUGGCUAAAAAUGUUCAG
Molecule: long non-coding RNA, 354 nt
Organism: Eublepharis macularius
Lineage: Eukaryota; Metazoa; Chordata; Lepidosauria; Squamata; Eublepharidae
Exons: 6
Source: RefSeq, a predicted model, not a curated record